RNAcentral lists this long non-coding RNA (698 nucleotides) under Danio rerio (zebrafish). Its description in RNAcentral is "si:dkey-81p22.11 (ENSDARG00000093797.5)". The record is from RNAcentral. Lineage: Eukaryota; Metazoa; Chordata; Actinopteri; Cypriniformes; Danionidae.
AAUCAACAAAAAAUAUUCAGAUUAUCAGAUCAAAGAUUCGAGUCACUUUAGACUCGUUACUUUUAGACCAAUCAUGUGACUCCAAAUGGCGUUCGUCGUGCGAGGAAAAGUCAGCGUGGUCAUGCUAUCAUGUGACGCUGCCUACAUAAAACACACUGACUGUUGGGCCGUUGAAUGGGGGAGGACAGUUUCCACGUGCUCUUCGCUUCAUGGUGGUUGUCAAGACGUUUGACCUCAGUUGAACAGCUCCGGGUAAACAAGUCAUCGCAAAUGUCCCCUCCCUCAGUUCCAAACAGCUUGCAUCCCAUCAGCGCGCAUGUUUUGCCAGGACAGAUGACAGGAAAACAGUCUCAGCUCAUGUUCAUAAUAAGGUAGGUGUAAGAGGACUUUGCCGUUGACUUUUCCUUGUGGUCCUUCUUAUACUUCAUGCGACGGUUUUGGAACCAGAUUUUAAUCUGCCGGUCGGUGAGCUUCAGCAGCUCAGCCAUUUCAAGUCUCCGGUUGCGGCACAGCCUCACUUGUGGAUUUCCAGAGGCCCAUGACUGAAGGUCGCAGCUCUAGUUUUUGAUCAGCGGAGGACCAGCGGAAAUUAUUAACAUGCUACUUCAUAAUAACAUAUCACAUAACAUUACAUAAAAAUCUGUUUUUCUGUAUUGUUUAAAUGUCGUAACAUAUGACAAUAAAUGGAAUUUUAAAAA